GUAAACGUCACUACUUUCAGCAUAUAAAAAGUAGCGGUCUGCAAGUCGAUUACACAAAAGCUCAUAGAACUUCGAGGACAACGAUUGCUCAAGAUACAAAAUCAACAAAAUGUCGAAAAUAAUUUUAUUAUUAUCAAUUCUCGUAUUGAUUGGUCUCUACGCUGGUACAGAUGCAGGAUGUGAAGGCAAAUGGUGCCAUCCAUCCCAAGAUUAUUACUGUUGUGACAAAUAUGAGUGCAGUUCGUCUUUUUGGCAAGGUACCUGCGUUAAUAGUGCCGCGGCCGAUUCUGUAACUGUAGGAUAAUAAUUAUAACAAUACAGUAAAAAUUGAAAAAUGUAUUUUUCCAAUCAAUAAAACUGUUAAUACAC
Molecule: RNA transcript, 369 nt
Organism: Microplitis demolitor
Lineage: Eukaryota; Metazoa; Arthropoda; Insecta; Hymenoptera; Braconidae
Exons: 3
Source: RefSeq, a predicted model, not a curated record